Molecule: long non-coding RNA, 4368 nt
Organism: Betta splendens (Siamese fighting fish)
Lineage: Eukaryota; Metazoa; Chordata; Actinopteri; Anabantiformes; Osphronemidae
Exons: 6
Source: RefSeq, a predicted model, not a curated record
GGGACCUGCAGACUGUGAAGGCAGCACGUCCGCCGAGCAGCAGCAGCAGCAGCAGCAGUAACGGUGCGGCGGUUCCGCUCAUCCUAGAUGCGCCACCGGUAACGGGCAACAGGUUGCCGCCGCUGUGGUGUGUGAGGAACAGCGGCUCCAGCCCAGAGGCGGACCGUUAAUUGAGCGUGAAGUAGCGGUAGACUCGCCCUGCGCAGCUCCGGAAAGAACUUUAACACGGGACCAACUCGGUGUAUUCUGGGUUUAGGCUCGUACGCCUGGCGGACAGCUGGACUCGCACGCGCUCAGAGGCGUGUAGGCUGGUUAAUUACCGGAGAACACCGGAGCGCCAGUGUUUAUACUGUAGGUAGCGUCAUGGAGCUAAGUGAAACUAACCGGAGCUAGCACGAUCAACCGGACGUAAGGAAACUCCGCUUUCAAAAUAAAGGGCCAGCGUGUCCCGUCUGACACCGUCAACAGCUGCUCAGACAUGGAAACACCUGCAGACAGACAGGGUUUCAACAUGAGUGUGAGGUUGCACAAGCUCAGUCUCCUCAAUAGCAGCAUGAUUUAUGAUGUUGGCUUAUAAGCUACUUUUUGUACAAACAGACUACAUUAUAAAGACAUCUAAUCUUAAUGUAGAGUCAAUUUAAAUUGUAUUAAUUAAAAUUUAUGUUUAACUUGUUGUUAAUGUUUUAACAAAAUAAAGCAUGACAGGCACAAACACGCCUGGCAGCUAGCGCUCGGUUUGAGGGUCUGUCAUGGUUGGGUUCUAGAUGACGUGCUUGUGUUCAUCCUGACCGUCCGUCUUUGGUUGACUGAGUGUCUCUGUUCCCUGCUGGAGUCAAUCUGUCUCUGGAGCUGCAGGUUGUAGAGAAAGACAAUGCGCUUCUUCUCUCUCUGAAGGACAAAGACAAACAGUGGGAGUCUCAGGAACAUGUUCACAACUGUUUCCACACACACUAACUAAACUAAAAAGACAACGGAGACAGAAAAUCAGUCCCUGGUUCUCCUGAACACUUUGACACAACUGUGUGUUUGUGCAGGAAUCACUGACUUGAGAACAAAAAAGUUCUAAAUAUGUAGAAACCAGGACAAGAUUAAAAUGAAGAGCCUGAGAGGAGCGUGACAUGCCUCCUAAUAAAGCAGACGGGGCAAACGUACUACUGCAUCAGCUGGAGGAAAGUUGACAAAUGGCUGCUUAACUGUAAUUAGAGUAAAGUGAUGAAUGUGCAGAACAUGAGCACAUGAAGCGAUCAGCUGCUUCAUUCACCUUCCCUCUCUGUCACUCCACCAGUUUAGCUCUAAUGCUCUUACAUUAAUCUGCUCUGAGAUCAGCUUUGCCACCGCCCUCACAGCUUAAACACAGGGUGUGUGUGUGUGUGUGUGUGUGUGUGUGUGUGUGUGUGUGUGUGUGUGUGUGUGUGUGUGUGUGUGUGUGUGUGUGUGUGUGUGUGUGUUUGGUACUUGUACUUGCAUCAAAGUGAGAACCAAAAAACGUAUUUUUCUACCAAGUGGUUUGAGGGUUAAGACGUGAUUUUAGGGCUGAGGUUAGAAUUGAGUUAUGGUUCAGAUUAGAGGUUAGAAGUCUGCCUUUAGUUGUGAUGGUUAGAGUGAGGGAACGGAGGUCCUCACUCUGAUGUAAGUACAAGUGUGUGUGUGUGUGUGUGUGUGUGUGUGUGUGUGUGUGUGUGUGUGUGUGUAGGAAGUGACAUCCUCUGUGUAACAUAUGUUGAAACUAAAGCUCUGUGUUUGUUGCUACGGAUCCUGUUAAUCACUACAGUCCACUACAAGAAAACUACAAUUUGUUUCUGUCAACAUUUACAUUUUGUUUUGAUUUGAUUGUUUCAGCUUCUUUUGGCGUUUUCUAACCAGUGUUUCACCCUGUUGUUUUUGAGUGAUAUCAUGUUUGCAGGUGUUUUUCUACUCAAACAUAAGUGUGUGAACCUGAGGGUUGUAAAAGGCAGCGAUGACCCGUUGAAGACGGUUGCUAUAAACCUGAAGGCAACUCAGCAGCGCCCCCAACAGGACGCAGCUCACACAGCUCACAUACACCCCUGCAGAGAGGGAGGACGGGGGAGACGCGCAGCCUGGGGGGAGAGACAUAAAUCAGGAUGUGACCGCACAAACAACAGAGGGUCCAAACAUGUCCACAUGCAUGUGAACACCAGCACCAAGUAAACUAGUCCAGUCCUGUGGCUUGACAGGAUGGCGCCAGCAGCCGAGCCAUCAUGGAGGCUCCACCGACCCGGACGCUCACCUGGUGACCACCUGCAGAGAAGGAGCGGAGUCAGGGACCAGGCGUCUGUCCAGGGUUGCAGGUGACGGAGCAUGGUUGAACUGGCUGAAGGUGUGUCUGCUGACAAUGUCCAGGACAUGGAAUAAAGAGAAGUCGACGGUCAGCAGGACGACGCACAGCAGAGCCACAGACAGAACCUGGACGCCACCGGACACCUGACAACACACACGCCAACUGUUACAGACGCAGCGGGAACCUGACACUUCAGAGGGGAGAUUAAACGCACAGGCCUUAUAUUUAUAAAAACGAAUCCAGGGAGGUUCACAGAUGGAGCAAAGAUUAAAUCUAUUUGGCGCCAAAACAUGUCAAAACAUUCUUCUACCGAGCUGCCGAGGACCAACUUUGAUUUAGACAGAAGCCAGCUUCACCAACUGUUCUUGAACUCACCACUUGUCUGAGCUCCUCGGGGUGAAUUCUCAGGCUGGACGGAUCGACAAACUUCUUUCUCUCAGAUCUUUUCAGAGGCAGCAGGAAACACUUCCCCUGAAGGGAAAAGCCAACACGACACUUAUGUGGCGUGGAAUCGGUUUCAAUCCCACUGAUCCUCAGAAUGAUGAGGUACCGCGUUCCUCCUACGGGCGUCGAUCUGUCUAAAGUACGCCGUGAUGUAGAAGUUGUCAAAUUGGAUGUCCCUCCUGUAGCACCUGUGGUAACUGAAGCCCCUGAGCACAAGAAGGAGCACCUCAGUGUGUGAAGAGAGUAAAGAUGUGAACAAAGGUGUGACUCUUACUGCAUGAAGAUGCUGAUGAAGGUGCAGGACAUCAGGAGCUGAAGCACAUUCAGCAGCUGUUCCACUGGUGUCGUCAGGUUCCUGAAGGAUUCUUUUACAGCCUGAGUGAACUGCUGGUCCAUCCCUGCUCCAGCCAGCACCGCCUGCUGCUGCUGCUCCUGCAGAAGGUCCCAAACAUUCAGUUUACUGGACUUCACACAAGCCAAGAGAUCGGCUGGUGCAUCUGGAAAGAAACAUCUGCACCUCACCCCCUUCACAGGACAAGUUCGGCGCUGAACUGUCGGGACAGCUGUUCAACAGAACCAUCAAGCUGAUCGAACAGCUUGCCAAAGUUUCCUUCCACAGGAAUUUGCUGUGUGCACCACGGAGUCAUAACUGACAAGGCAGAGGAGGCUUCAGGUCCAGACACACUCAUUUGCAGCUCUUGCAGAGCUGGCGUGACCGCUCACCUCUGAUGAUGUCACACAGGAAGUGGAACUUCAUGGAGACACAGACCAUGUGGCUGAUGACAGGGACAGGUACCACCUCCAUACACUCCUUCCAUCGGAGUGCGAACCAGUCAGCGCAGCGCUGCACCCCGUCCUCCACCACAUCUGGACAGUACACGCAUACAACUUGUGACCUCCUCCAGGUUUAACCAGUGACAUCUGAAUGCUGUGGACUGACUCACCGUUGCACUGCAUCCUGCUCUUUGCAGUGAACUGUUGCUGUGUGCUGUUACCCGAGUCAGCGCUGCUUUGAUUCUUGAAGUGACUGUGUCCGUACUGAAAGACCAUUUCAUCUCUAAUUGACUGAAACCUUCUGCUGAUGUUUAAAAUCUCUGAUUCAAACUCUGCUUUACUGUCCUAAACAUGAAAAAAGAGACAAGAUGGUGGUGAAAUCUGCAUUCUGACCUCCAUAUUCAUGUUUGUUUUCCGACAGACAAACUCACCAUGAGCUCCUGUGUGAUGGCGAUAAAUGGUCUGACAGCGUCUCUCCACAGUAACUUGCUGUUAUUUACCUGCAGGUCCAGGUUACAGCUCAGAGACAAAGCAGCUUCCUCAAUGUUCUGAUGCAUGUUAGAAAUCGGACCUGCAACAGUAGAACAACGGUUCAAAAUUAAAACACUUCGCUCCAGCAGCUCGUUCUUGGCUCAGAUGUCGGUGUAGCUUUGAGGAACUCAGGAAUCAGAUUUAACCUCAUUUCACAGAUAAUUCUCUACACAAUUCCAGCUGCUUUCUGCUCAAAAGAGAAGAAUGUGCAGCAAACAGACAGAUCUAAGCCCUGGAGUGUUGAAAACAGGGAUUAAAGGGUGACUUGUGGAUCAUGUUUCAUUGUUUAAACAAUAAAAACAAAACCCAACAGAACGUAA